Molecule: long non-coding RNA, 1088 nt
Organism: Fukomys damarensis (Damara mole-rat)
Lineage: Eukaryota; Metazoa; Chordata; Mammalia; Rodentia; Bathyergidae
Exons: 3
Source: RefSeq, a predicted model, not a curated record
AGCCUGGCCUCCCCACUCUGAGUCCCUUCAUCCCUGUGGGAGGCUCCCCACUUGUGCUCCUCCCCGAGAUGUGGCCAGUGGGGCCUCAAGGGAGCAGUGCCAUGCUGUGCGGACCAUCAGCCUCCAAAACCAGCUAAAGAAACUUCUUUUCUUUAUAACGUACCCAGCCCCACAUAUUUUGUUUUAGUCACAGAAGACUGACUACCGCCCUUCCUGACACUGCCACGCUGGUGCCUGGGCACCCGACACUCUGCAUGGUCCUUCCUCCCCAGUCAGGUCUGCAGACACAUUUCAGAGGAUGAAACCACUCUCGCCCCGCGACAAAGCCCUGCCUCCUACCUUCCUGACCUUUUCCAGUUGCCUGCCUCUCCCUACCUACAGGCACCACGAUGAUGUGGCCACCGUGGACUCUGGUGGACAUGACUGCUGCGGCCUUCUGCCUGGUCUCCCUGUGGGGACAAAGGCGCUAUAACAUUUCAAAUGACAUCUGGGAUUUGCAUCCUAUCCCCACUGGACACGACCUCAACAUAGUAACAUCCCCCAGCCAUUCACGGGGAGACCAAGUUCCGUCCAGGAGCACAGGCAGCGCAGGUCUGGGAGCCCCUUCUGUGCCGUGGAAUCAGAACUGAGCAGGGGCUGGAUCGGACCAGAGAAGAUGACAGAAAGCGGGGAGGGAUUCGUGGAGCAGCUUCAGAAGUCACGCAGUGAGCACGCUGGACUUGGGGUGGGGUCGUCCUGAGAAGAGGGCGGGUGUCUGGCCUGGAGGUUGCUCCUCUUCUCCCUUCUGUCCGCAGUCCCACUCCGCCCCUGUCUCCUGGCAGGGCCUGGACAACCCGAAACCUGUCCUCAGUGGAGAGGCCAGGCCCUCAUGGCUCUGUGCAGGGUCUGUACCCAGACUGGGGCUUCUACGGGCUACUCCUCGGGCUGAAGCCCCCAAGAACUUUGUACAAGGAGACAGGAGUCCCUGAGGAGAAGUGGAGAGCACACGUCACCCGCAUGCGGUCUGUUGGGCCUGUCAAAGCUGAGGCCCGGUCAUGGCGGGGAGAGAGAGCGCAGCUACUGGGAAGAGUUUGAGCCCGGAAUUUACC